UCAAUAGGGGUGCUUCUCCUUGACCAUGUUUUUUUUUUUUGCUUAUUGACGUUUUUGUGAAGGAACGCUGGAUAUGUGCACACCAUUGACUGUCAGCUCUAGUCCCGGUCAGCUGUCAUUUUUUACAGUUCUCGUUGUAGUAAUUGCUAGUCAUUUGCACCAAAGGCGCUGGAUGUGAACUAUUUUCUCUUUCCUGGACUUGCAUUUCUCCCAGUCGUUGGCUUUGUCAUUUUUUCAUAAUUUAAAUUUUCUCUUGGUAACUCUUGAGUUUCGUAAUCCCUACACUGUGCAUUUUACCCUUUUGAUAAAGCUCAUUCCACAUACCGUGCACAGACUAUUUUGUGCUGACGUGCAGCAAUUGUUCCGUUACGUCUAAUGUUACAUGCCAUUCAUUUUUGUGUCUGGGGUACUGAAGCCUGAGCAGAUAGGCAGACUGCCUAUUACUGCAUAACUUCGUUUUCUUUGAGACACCACCACUUGUGCAGGCAGACCGCCUCUUGCUGUAUGCUUUUUCUUUCUUUUGAGACACCGUUGACGUGCUAGUGGUUACGCAGGCAGGCUGCAUAUUACUGUAUACCAUUUCCCCCCAUGCAGCAAUUUUACCGUUACGUCUAAUAUUAAUGCUACAAGCCGUUCAUUUCUUUCUGGGCCACUACCGAAGUGCAAGUGGUUAGGCAGACUGCCUACUACUGUAUACCUUUUUUGUUUCCUUUCAGAGACCACUCUUACUGGGUACGUUUCCCCCCCCUUUUGAGACACCAUUGAAGGGCCAGUGGUUACGCAGGCAGGCUGGAUAUUACGACACAAUUGGCAUACAUUGGGUGAUGCAGGCAGACUGCUUAGUGUGCACCACUCGUCGUUUAGUCUAUUGAGGUGCUACAAGUGUUGUGUCAGUCUAUUUCCUCUCCGAAAAUAAAAUGUUGGGCUCUACA
Ornithodoros turicata is the source of this 932-nucleotide long non-coding RNA. RefSeq lists it as uncharacterized. Lineage: Eukaryota; Metazoa; Arthropoda; Arachnida; Ixodida; Argasidae. The transcript is spliced from 2 exons. The record is from RefSeq and is a predicted model, not a curated record.